GCGCGGCCGCGGAGAGGUCUGCGGCGGCUUGAUGGAGUCCCCCGGCGUAAUGUAGCUGGCAGGGCAGCCCCCUGUUUUCAGCACUCAGUAGUAACGCCAGCUCAAAGCUGGUUUGUGCGGCUCCCUCCGGAGGCCCGCUGAAAUAGCGCGGCUCCCCUGCAGCGCGCUGAGCGGCUGCUCUCUUUACCAAGGUGCUCUCUGCUGCCCUAAAGACAGAAAUUUGGCAUCCUCUCCCCAUUCGGAGCUGGGCCCCGGUCAAGCUCUGUCUGUACGUCGGGGCACGCUUCACAGGUCAGCGCAGGGAGGGUUUCGUCCCUCUUUGACCCAGAGUUGUGCUGCUCUCUUGGCUGUCUUCAGCCUCUGCAAGCAAAGCACAGCAAGAGGAGAAGAGGAUUCCCAGUUUUGUGUGGCUCUCCGCUCCCUGAACAAAAACAUGCCUGAAAGCCAAGAACUCCUGAACAUGCAGAAUCUCCACCAGGAAGAACGGAGACGGCAUUCAUCAACUUUGGCCCAUCAGCCUUGA
Long non-coding RNA from Struthio camelus australis, 523 nucleotides. NCBI's taxonomy places the organism in Eukaryota, Metazoa, Chordata, Aves, Struthioniformes, Struthionidae. The record is from Ensembl.